RNAcentral lists this ribosomal RNA (429 nucleotides) under uncultured bacterium. RNAcentral's name for it is "bacterial SSU rRNA". It matches the Rfam family "Bacterial small subunit ribosomal RNA", at positions 355 to 776 of the family's 1533-position model. The record is from RNAcentral.
UGGGGAAUCUUGCACAAUGCGCGAAAGCGUGAUGCAGCAACGCCGCGUGCGGGAAGAAGGCCUUAGGGUUGUAAACCGCUUUCAGUUGGGACGAAGCUUCAGUCGUUAAUAGCGGUUUGGAGUGACGGUACCUUCAGAAGAAGCGCCGGCUAACUACGUGCCAGCAGCCGCGGUAAUACGUAGGGCGCGAGCGUUGUCCGGAAUCAUUGGGCGUAAAGCGCGUGUAGGCGGCUGAGUAAGUCUGCUGUGAAAGUCCAGGGCUCAACCCUGGAAUGUCGGCGGAUACUGCUCAGCUGGAGUACGGGAGGGGCGAGUGGAAUUCCUGGUGUAGCGGUGGAAUGCGCAGAUAUCAGGAGGAACACCUAUGGCGAAGGCAGCUCGCUGGAACGUUACUGACGCUGAGACGCGAAAGCGUGGGGAGCAAACAGG